Molecule: ribosomal RNA, 447 nt
Filed under: uncultured bacterium
Lineage: Bacteria
Description: SSU rRNA
Rfam family: Bacterial small subunit ribosomal RNA
Source: RNAcentral
AGAGCGAACGCUGGCGGCAUGCUUAACACAUGCAAGUCGCACGGGCACUUCGGUGUCAGUGGCGGACGGGUGAGUAACGCGUAGGUAUCUAUCCUUAGGUGGGGGAUAACGGUUGGAAACGACUGCUAAUACCGCAUGAUAACUGAGGUUUAAAGGCGCGAGUCGCCUGGGGAGGAGCCUGCGUACGAUUAGCUUGUUGGUGGGGUAAAGGCCUACCAAGGCGACGAUCGUUAGCUGGUCUGAGAGGAUGAUCAGCCACAUUGGGACUGAGACACGGCCCAAACUCCUACGGGAGGCAGCAGUGGGGAAUAUUGGACAAUGGGCGAAAGCCUGAUCCAGCAAUGCCGCGUGUGUGAAGAAGGUCUUCGGAUUGUAAAGCACUUUCGACAGGGACGAUGAUGACGGUACCUGUAGAAGAAGCCCGGCUAACUUCGUGCCAGCAGCCGC